Molecule: small RNA, 129 nt
Filed under: Streptococcus uberis 0140J
Lineage: Bacteria; Bacillati; Bacillota; Bacilli; Lactobacillales; Streptococcaceae
Description: Streptococcus sRNA SSRC34
Rfam family: Streptococcus sRNA SSRC34
About the family: It is based on computationally predicted coordinates (RNAz).
Source: Rfam by way of RNAcentral
UGAAAACGUUUUAAAAUAGAGACGUUCUUGAAUUUCGUUUAAAAGGAAAAGAAUUGCCAAAUGAUUUUGGAAGGAGAUUAUUCUUUUUCAUUUCAACGAAAAAAAAAUAUAUAAGGAGGAAGAACAAGA